AUACGAAGGGGGCUAGCGUUGUUCGGAAUUACUGGGCGUAAAGCGCAUGUAGGCGGACAUUUAAGUCAGGGGUGAAAUCCCGGGGCUCAACCUCGGAACUGCCUUUGAUACUGGGUGUCUAGAGUGUGGAAGAGGUAAGUGGAAUUCCGAGUGUAGAGGUGAAAUUCGUAGAUAUUCGGAGGAACACCAGUGGCGUUUUAAGGCGGCUUACUGGUCCAUUACUGACGCUGAGGUGCGAAAGCGUGGGGAGC
This 251-nucleotide ribosomal RNA is filed under the name uncultured bacterium. Its description in RNAcentral is "partial 16S ribosomal RNA". It matches the Rfam family "Bacterial small subunit ribosomal RNA", at positions 523 to 769 of the family's 1533-position model. The record is from RNAcentral.